AAACCGCAAGUGUGCAGUCGCUGCGUGGCCUCGCGCCGCGCAGAGGAAAGUCCGAACUUCACAGGGCAGGGUGCCGGUCGAGAACCUCGUUCAAGGCCGGGGACGGCGGCGCAAGCCGCUGGUCACAGAGAAGUGCAACAGAAAGCGAACCGCUCCGGCUACGGCUGGAGUAAGGGUGAAAAGGGGGUGUAAGAGACCACCAGAUACGCCAGCAAUGACGUAUGCUAUGAAAACCUCCCCGAAGCAAGGCCAAAUAAGGGUGCUUUUUCCGCAAGGGAAGCAGGGUUGCUCGUCCAACUGUUCGGGGUUUCACCUCGAACAGAGUAUCCGGGUAGGCCGCAUCAGAUAAAUGAUUGCAGCUUCACCACUUGAUGGUGAUUCACAGAAUUCGGCUUACAGCUUCGGUUUCAGC
Molecule: RNase P RNA, 412 nt
Filed under: Chlorobaculum thiosulfatiphilum
Lineage: Bacteria; Pseudomonadati; Chlorobiota; Chlorobiia; Chlorobiales; Chlorobiaceae
Description: RNase P RNA component class A
Rfam family: Bacterial RNase P class A
About the family: Ribonuclease P (RNase P) is a ubiquitous endoribonuclease, found in archaea, bacteria and eukarya as well as chloroplasts and mitochondria. Its best characterised activity is the generation of mature 5'-ends of tRNAs by cleaving the 5'-leader elements of precursor-tRNAs.
Source: RNAcentral